Molecule: ribosomal RNA, 440 nt
Filed under: uncultured bacterium
Lineage: Bacteria
Description: partial 16S ribosomal RNA
Rfam family: Bacterial small subunit ribosomal RNA
Source: RNAcentral
CCUACGGGAGGCAGCAGUGGGCGAUAUUGCACAAUGGGGGAAACCCUGAUGCAGCGACGCCGCGUGGGUGAAGAAGCGCCUCGGCGCGUAAAGCCCUGUCAGCAGGGAAGAAAAUGACGGUACCUGAAGAAGAAGCCCCGGCUAACUACGUGCCAGCAGCCGCGGUAAUACGUAGGGGGCAAGCGUUAUCCGGAUUUACUGGGUGUAAAGGGGGCGCAGACGGCGAUGCAAGCCAGGAGUGAAAGCCCGGGGCCCAACCCCGGGACUGCUCUUGGAACUGCGUGGCGAGAGUGCAGGAGGGGCAGGCGGAAUUCCUGGUGUAGCGGUGAAAUGCGUAGAUAUCAGGAGGAACACCGGUGGCGAAGGCGGCCUGCUGGACUGCAACUGACGUUGAGGCCCGAAAGCGUGGGGAGCAAACAGGAUUAGAUACCCCAGUAGUC